GAGUUGUCAUUAAUAUUCACCGAGCUAAGCUGCUUGACUCUGGUUGGCUAACAGCUAGCCAAUGAGAGCCUGGCUAUCAGCAUUCACCACCAUCCCAACC
Etheostoma cragini (Arkansas darter) is the source of this 100-nucleotide long non-coding RNA. RefSeq lists it as uncharacterized. The record is from RefSeq and is a predicted model, not a curated record. NCBI's taxonomy places the organism in Eukaryota, Metazoa, Chordata, Actinopteri, Perciformes, Percidae. The transcript is spliced from 3 exons.